AAGGGCGCGGACACUAAGCAAUACGACACAUCGAUUGAAUAACUACAAUGUGGCGACUUAGAGUUUUUCGUUUAAUCGUUUAUUUUGUAAUGUUAAUACAUGUCUACAGUGAAAUCAUCUUCAAGACGCCAGUACCCCAUAAUGGUCCAUUUAACAUAACUGUUAAGCUUGAUACUAUUGAAAGUAAGGUAAAUUGGUACAGAGACGGUGUCUACUUACAAGCCUCUGAAAUCAGUGCAUCAGGAAAGGAGUGUAAGACAAUACCAUUUCCAACAGAGGGAUUUGACUUCUACUGUGAAGAUGACGGCCACAUAUACAAGUUAGAAAUACUAAAUAUUACAGCAUAUUUUAACGUUACAUUCAGAGCGAACUACGGUGAAGGAUUAAAUGAUACAUAUACGGUAUCGUUUCCUGAUUCAUUAACCACAACCACUGAAGAUUCAUUAACCACAACCACUGAAGAUUCCUUUACCUGCAACGUUUAUAUCCCAACGAUAGCAGUUAUAGUUGUUCUGAUCAUAAUUGUGGUUGUAUUAUUAAUCCUACAUUUCAAGUAUCCAGGUGAAAGGUGGAGCAUUAUCUUAGAUGUGGCAUUAGUAUGCAUUAAUGUUGUACUUCUAGCUGCUGCAAUAACCUGUACUGUUUUUGUUUCUAGAGGAAUAGGGUGUUAUAGUGAUUGUGAAGAUGUUUGGAAAACUGCUAUUGGGUUUGUUGUUGUAGCCUUCCUGUUGGUAAUGGGUGUUAUGAUAGAGCUGAUUCGAUGUUAUCUCUUCGGUGAUAAGACAUCGGUCGAAGCGGACCGUAAAUAAAGCUAUUUGGCACGCAUCACCCAAAAUGAUGUUAAUUUCCUGUACAGAUUUAGUUUUAUUGUAUAUUUCGACGGAGCAAUAACAACUCUUUGCCUUAUUAAUGACGAUAUUUAAUGUAAUUGGUAGUCCGCGAUAAUGAUGAUCAACUGUUUUGUGUACUGUCAAUAUUAUUUAAAAUAUCAAUUGUGCAUAUAUUGAUGAUUCAGAAUUGCGAUUUUAAUUGUGUGAAACGCAUUUCGAUUUUUCGAUUAAAUAUCCUUGGUGAAAAUUUGCAUAAUACGAGAUAGCUCGGUUUGUAAAAGUCGGAUGCACUUCUUUUUAUUCUGUUCCAGUUGUUUUGAAUACAGCUCAUUGGUAGCAAUACUUAUUUGAUAAAUUCACUCAGCUAAGGUGGUGUUGAUACGAGAUAUGAAUAUUGCGUCAUCGUGGUUAGAGUGUGGUUCGCUUUCGAUAAUGGUAACACUUUGCUAUUAAAUGUAGGUUAAUUUAAUUUAUCGUGGUUAUGGUUACUUUUACGGUAGACAUAUGACGUAAAUAAUAUCCAGUUAUUUGUUGACCGAAUGUCCAAUUUACAACCACAAAUAAAGGUUUUCAAAAGGUUAGGUAUACUUGCGCUGCGGAAUAUGGUGUUAAUUUAAGGACAGAUUUAGAUUAAAAUGAUCGUUUGGUUAUAUUUUGCUCAUGGGUUUACGUCCAAAGUUAACGUUUUGUUUACCAUAUUUCUUUGUCAUAUUUACGUCUAUUUACGCACGACGUAUAUUUUCGACGUCGGAUAUGUACGUUAAUCUAACUCAAACGCAACGGUAUAUUUACGGUAUGUUUACGUCAGAAAGUAGUGUUAAUUUUACGUUACCUUCACGUUGGAAAUUUACGUGAAUUUAACGUAAAUUGAUUAAAGUUUAAUUAAUAUUAAAAAGAUGCAUACAAUUAUCGUCAUCGUGUUAUGUAGGAUGCACCUUCGACGGUAAUUUAAUUAAUGACUUUCUCACGAGCUUGUUUUGUGUUAGUUACUUUAGUAACGGAUUCUUAUCGGCUUUGACCUCUACCCGUUACUGCCUCAUCCUAUACUCAACUAAUAUGAUAAAAGCCCCCCCUUCCAUCUCGGUUCUAAGGCUGUUUUGGAAUCCUUACCGUCUAUAUAGUUGAGUACGAGACCUAAAAUCCGUGACCAAUUUUCGGGGAAGUUGUUUUGAAGGUGGUUUCUAUAUGGCAAAACCUGUUGAAGCGAUAAGGCUUGGGUGCCUCUCUCUAAAACGCUUGCGGAAUCCGCUAAAGGGCCAAAUUCAAAAUGGCUUCCAGAUUUCGCGGGAAAAUAUAAAAUUAUUUAAUAUAGGCGUCUGAGGUGUUUAUUUGUAUGUUUUAAGGGUCUCUGAAACGAAAUAUCAUAGUCAAAAAUCCAUGAGGCUACUACUUUUGUCAAUAUGGCCGAACAAUCCAAGAUGGCCGCCAUUUUGAUCUGGAAAAUAGUUUUGUCAACUACAUUUGUAUACCCAAGUGGUAUGUUUUCGUGGUCGAGGUAUUCAAUUAUGAUGAGUUUGUGUCGAUAUAUGACAACCAGCAAUAAGAGUGAAAGGAAUGAAGGGACUCACCGAUAUUUACAACCUGAUAUACUCUGUAGUCAACUGAUUUUAAUUUAAUCAACGCUUGAUAAUGGAUCCAUGUAAUAUUUAAUCACGCACGAUAAUCGACGUUAAAUUAUCCAAUUAAAGUGAAAGUGUUACUCGUCGGAAUCAUAGUCACCCGAUUUAAAAGAUCGAUCCAUUUCUGAUUAUUCAGAUUCAGAUUGUUCCUCCGAAGUUGAAGUUACGUGGGAAUCGUCAUCACUUGCAUUAUCACUGCUAUGAACAAGUAAGUCGCUUAAACAUCCUGGUAAUGCUGCUUUAUUCUCAUAUCUAAUUGACACGCACUGUCCAGAUUGGAGCAGUUUCCAGCCAUUACCAAUGGGAGAGUGUGUGAUCUUAGACUUUGAGUAAUUAAGCAUUAAAUAUGUCCGAAAAGUAGUCCUGGUGAGUUUAAGUUUGCAAGACUCCUCAUUAGGUUGUAGCUGGCGAAAGGUUUUUUUGUACGCCCACAUUUUCAUGUGGAAGUAUAUUGUCGUCGCCCCUGUCCGUCCGUCCCCAAUUAUUUGUGAACAGUCUACAGGUCACAAUUUUUAUCCGAUUUCAAUGAAACUUGGAAUAUAGGUUUAUCACCCUAAGAUCUCGGUUCCUUUCGAUAUUGGCAUGCAUCGGACCGUAACUUCAUGGAUUAUGGCCCCUGAUUGUACGAAAAAUCACGUUUUUAGCUUGUGAACACUGUAGAGGUCACAAUUUUUAUCCUAUUUGGUUUAAACUUGAAAUGUAUGCUUUCGAUAUUCGCGCAUAUGGCCCCUGAUUGUGGACCCUAUAGAAGUCAUAAUUUUUAUCCGAUUUAAAAAAAACGUAUUUUUAUAUCAUCGUUACACGGCUGAGUUCGAAUUUCGUGAAAAUCGGACCAAAACUGACAGACAAAAUGGCCGCCGUUCGUUCUCAAAUAGCGUAAAAAUAUGGUAUAUCAAGGUUGUGGACCCUAUAGAGGUCACAAUUUUUAUCCGAUUUUGUUGAAACUUGAAAUGUAAGUUUAUAACCCAGCGAUCUCGGUUCUUUUCGAUAUUCGCGCAUAUCGGACCGUAACUUCCUGAAUUAUGGCACCUGAUUGUUCGAAAAAUCGCGUUUUUAGCUUGUGGACUCUAUAGAGGUCAUAAUUUUUAUCCGAUUUAAAAAAUCGUAUUAUUAUAUCACCGUUACACCCUAAGGAUGGCUGAUUUCGAAUUUCGUAAAAACCGGCCCAAAACUGACAGACAAAAUGGCCGCCGUUCGUUCUCAAAUAGCGUAAAAAUAUGGUAUAUCCAGGUUGUGGACCCUAUAGAGGUCACAAUUUUUAUCCGAUUUUGUUGAAACUUGAAAUGUAAGUUUUUAACCCAACGAUCUCGGUUCUUUGCGAUAUUCGCGCAUAUCGGACCGUAACUUCCUGAAUUAUCGCACCUGAUUGUUCGAAAAAUCGCGUUUUUAGCUUGUGGGCUCUAUAGAGGUCAUAAUUUUUAUCCGAUUUAAAAAAAAACUAUUAUUAUAUCACCGUUACACCCUAAGGAUGACUGAUUUCGAAUUUCGUGAAAAUCGGUCCAAAACUGACAGACAAAAUGGCCGCCGUUCGUUCUCAAAUAGCGUUAAAAAAUAUGGUAUAUCAAGGUUGUGGGCCCUAUAGAGGUCACAAUUUUUAUCCGAUUUUGUUGAAACUUGACAUGUAAGUUUAUAACCCAAAGAUCUCGGUUCCUUUCGAUAUUCGCGCAUAUCGGACCGUAACUUCCUGAAUUAUGGCCCCUGAUUGCACAAAAAAUCACGUUUUUAGCUUGUGGACACUAUAGAGGUCAUAAUUUUUAUCACCGUUACACCCUAAGAACGGCUGAGUUCGAAUUUCGUGAAAAUCGGCCCAAAACUGACAGACAAAAUGACCGCCCCUCGUUCUCAAAUUGCGUAAAAAUAUAGGUCACAAUUUUUAUCCGAUUUUGUUGAAACUUGAAAUGUAAUUUUAUAACUCAAAGAUCUCGUUUUUUUCCGAUAUUUGCGCAUAUCGAAUUGUAAUUUCCUGAAUUAUGGCCAUAAUUAUGGCUGCGGCUAAUUUGAUGGGAAUAUACCCUCACUGUAGCUCUUUAAUUAAUUUGUAACUAUCACUCUAAUCAACGAAAACGAGCUAAAAUUGAAUUCCUCGACACUGAAAACAUACAAUUUGUCACGAAACUUGAGCAUAGUUGAAAAAAAUAAAAUCCCAGCAAAAAAUGGCGGCCAUCUUGCAUUUGUCUGCCAUAUUGGCCCAACUAGUGACCAGAUGAAUUUUUGAUAUUAUAUUUCGAUUCCGAGACCCUUAAAACAUAGGAAUAAUGGCCUCAGAAGCCUAUAUUAGAUAUUUUAUAUUUGUAGCGCCAAAUUUGGCAUCUAUUUAGAAUUUAGCCCUCUAGCGGAUUCCUCAAGCGUUUUUUUUUUAUACAGAAACCAUCUUCAAAGCAUAUCACUGACAGCGAGAGCCAAGAAAUGGUCAAGCAUUAAACGAAAAAACUUUCACCGGCUACCACCGCCUGAGGAGUAUUACAAACUUAAACUCACCAGAGCGACUUUUCGGGCAUAUUUAAUGCUUAAUUACUCAAAGUCUAAGAUCACAUACUCUCCCAUUGGUAAUGGUUGGAAACUGCUCCUAUCUGGACAGUGCGUGUCAGUGAUUUACUUGUUCAUGGCAGCGAUAGCGCAAGUGAUGAACAUUCCGACGUAACUUCAACUUCGGAGGAACAAUCUGAAUCUGAACAAUUGGAACUGGAUCUAUCUUUUAAAUCGGAUGACUGUGAUUCUGACGAGUAACACUUUAAUUUUAAGUGGAUAAGUUGAUGAUGUCGAUUAUCGUGCAUGAUUAAAUAUUAAAUGGAUCCAUUAUCAAGAGUUCAUUAAAUUAAAAUCAUCUGAUUAUAGAGUAUAUCAGGUUGUAAAUAUCGGUGAGUCCCUUCAUUUCUCGCACUCUUAUUGCCGGUUGAAUAUAUCGACACAAAUUCAUCAUAAUUGAAUACCUCGACCCCGAAAACAUACAAUUUGGCGUAUAGUUGACAAAACUAUUUUCCAGGUAAAAAAUGGUGGUCAUCUUGGAUUGUUCGGCCAUAUUGACAAAACUAGUGGCCUGAUGGAUUUCGUUUCAGAGACCCUUAAAACAUACGAAUAGACACGUCGAAAGCCUAUAUAUAUUAAAUAAUUUUAUAUUUUCCCGCCAAAUCUGGGAGCCAUUUUGAAUUUGGCCCUCUAGUGGAUUCCGCCAGCAUUUUAGAGAGAGGCACCCAAGCUUAAUCGCUUCAGCUGUGUUCAACCAAUUUUCCAAAUUUAGGAAUGGAAUGUUACAGUAAACGAACAUUCUUGCUGUACUUCAAGUAACGGGCAAAACUGUCAAUAUAGAUACCACUAAAGUCUAUGUAUUCUACAUACGUAAAACAUUAUUACACAAAAUCGAUUAAUACAUUAUUGAAAUACAGCAAGAAUUUUCGUUCACGAUAACAUUCCAUUCCUAAAUUUUGAAUAUUGGCCGAGUGCAGGCGUGAGUUUCAUAAGGGCGGAUCAUUUCAAACGAAUUUUGUUUGUGAUUUUGGAUCGCUCAAUUCUACAUCAAAAUAGUGUUGGAUUAUUAUAAAUUUGUGUCGAAUGUGGCAAGAUAUGAUCCCAUUUGGCGAACAAAGAAGAAUCAUGUAGAAAAGGGAGGUUAGGGAUUCCAAAAUAGCCUUAGAACCGAGAUGGGGGAAAAGCCUUAUUUUCAUAUAAGUUGUGUAUAUGACGAGGCAGUUACGGAUAGAGGCCAUAGCCGAUAAGAAUCAGUUACUAAAGUAAUUAGCUUUGUGUUGAUAUAUAUCAAUAUCUGUUUAAUUGCCAUUUGGAAUCCAUGUUUUGAUUUAUUUAUCCGACGAUUAUAUGAAAUGAAAUAAAGAAUACUUGAAAUAAAUUAUUUCUAAAGAAAACACAUUUUUAAAGAAAACACAUUGGUAUUUGUUAAUUGAUAAGAGAGAGGUGCAGAUAAUCUAUGGUUGUACAAUUAUUGUCCAGGUACAGAAUCACACUGAUCCGCAGUGAAUAUUCGCUUGGCCGCUACAAUCACUGAUAAGGAUGACAUCGAUGCGACUUAAUGACUACAAAAUAUUAACUUUUUUUCUUUUGACAAAUUAAAUUCUGAAACAUUUUUUUUUAGUAUUAGAAAAAUAAAUAAAGGUGUUUGAAGUAUA
This is a long non-coding RNA of Patella vulgata (common limpet), 6570 nucleotides long. RefSeq lists it as uncharacterized. The record is from RefSeq and is a predicted model, not a curated record. NCBI's taxonomy places the organism in Eukaryota, Metazoa, Mollusca, Gastropoda, Patellidae. The transcript is spliced from 7 exons.